RNAcentral lists this ribosomal RNA (253 nucleotides) under uncultured bacterium. Its description in RNAcentral is "partial 16S ribosomal RNA". It matches the Rfam family "Bacterial small subunit ribosomal RNA", at positions 524 to 776 of the family's 1533-position model. The record is from RNAcentral.
UACGAAGGGGGCUAGCGUUGCUCGGAAUCACUGGGCGUAAAGCGCACGUAGGCGGCUUUCUAAGUCAGGGGUGAAAUCCUGGAGCUCAACUCCAGAACUGCCUUUGAUACUGGAGAGCUUGAGUCCGGGAGAGGUGAGUGGAACUCCGAGUGUAGAGGUGAAAUUCAUAGAUAUUCGGAAGAACACCAGUGGCGAAGGCGGCUCACUGGCCCGGUACUGACGCUGAGGUGCGAAAGCGUGGGGAGCAAACAGG